GUUGCAAUUUGGCAGUGGUUUGAGGGAUGGGAGAAAAGAAAUAGCAUUUUAUAAUUCAGAAUAUAAAUAAAUUAUAUCUAGAGUGGAAUAACUUAGGAGGUAUUCAAUUUUCUUUGUUUCUUUAAUUUAAAUUAGUUUUUCAUAAAACAGUUUGAUUUGUAAUAGAUAACAAAAGAAAUAGCAUUUUAUUAUUCAAGGCAAAAUAAUAUUAUUUAAUUAAUUUGUAAUAGAUAACACAAGAAAGAGUUAAUUUGAUGGAAAAAAAACUGCUAUCAAAUUGAUUACUGAAGCAUU
This 294-nucleotide long non-coding RNA is filed under the name Gossypium barbadense (sea-island cotton). Its description in RNAcentral is "long non-coding RNA (GBAR_LNC010121)". Lineage: Eukaryota; Viridiplantae; Streptophyta; Magnoliopsida; Malvales; Malvaceae. The record is from RNAcentral.